This 478-nucleotide ribosomal RNA is filed under the name uncultured bacterium. RNAcentral describes it as "partial 16S ribosomal RNA". It matches the Rfam family "Bacterial small subunit ribosomal RNA", at positions 28 to 523 of the family's 1533-position model. The record is from RNAcentral.
GACGAACGCUGGCGGCGUGCUUAACACAUGCAAGUCGAACGGUAAGGCCCUUCGGGGUACACGAGUGGCGAACGGGUGAGUAACACGUGGGUGAUCUGCCCUGCACUUCGGGUUAAGCCUGGGAAACUGGGUCUAAUACCGGAUAGGACCACUGCCUGCAUGGGUGGUGGUGGAAAGCUUUUGCGGUGUGGGGUGGGCCCGCGGCCUAUCAGCUUGUUGGUGGGGUGAUGGCCUACCAAGGCGACGACGGGUAGCCGGCCGGAGAGGGUGACCGGCCCCACUGAGACUGAGGUACGGCCCAGACGCCUACGGGGGGCAGCAGUGGGGAAUAUUGCACAAUGGGCGCAAGCCUGAUGCAGCGACGCCGCGUGAGGGAUGACGGCCUUCGGGUUGUAAACCUCGUUCAGCACCGACGAAGCGCAAGUGACGGUAGGUGCAGAAGAAGGACCGGCCAACUACGUGCCAGCCACCGCAGUAA